UAGCCUUGGAGAAAAUAGAAGUAUAGCAGCUCACACAGUGGUUCUUCUAAUGAGGAAAUGAGGGGGGGAACUAGAAAUCUUAUGGACAUCAUUGAAUAAUUAUAAUUCACAAAAGUUACUUUAUAUUUAGUAUCAUGCUCUUGUUUAUUGUUUAAUAAUAUUAGUCUAUAAAGAUAUAAUAAUAGCUCCCCUGGCUGUUAAGCCAAUAAUUUGGUAUUUUGGUUACUCUUCCUUUUCUUUCGGGUUGCUGUCUUUAAGUUUUCUGAUGUGUGCCAAGAGCUUCUUAUAUUUAUGGUUCUAAAAGAAACACAUUCUUAUUUGAAACUGGUGUAUUUAUUUUCUGAAAUGUGUUAUGCUUAGUAUUCCUAUAAAAACUCACCCUUUUUAUUGGAUUUCUUAUCACAUACGCGCACUAAAAAAAGAAUCUUUGUUAUAAUAUAUUUCGCUAGAAAAUGACAACAAAAUUAAUGAUUCGAUUCCUGUGAGUGAUACUUGUUGGGACGAACAGUCAUACACAAGUGAUGAGAUUAGUUCCUCAACCCAUCUUGUAGUUUGAGGUGCAUUAAUUUCACAUGUAGUGUGAGAAGAGUCAUAAUUAGACUGUCAUAGUUUGCGAAUCACUACUUUUUUCCACAGAUAAUUAUACUGGCUAAUUAGUUUCACAAGAAGUUCGAUUCACACACCCAAACCUGUACAUGCACAACAACGCAUAGAAUAGUGCCAAAACUUGGUAAAAAAAAAUUAAAUUUAUGAAAUUCCAAAAAAUGAUAUCUAUAUUGUAUGUUUUUUAUAUAACAUAUUACAAUUUACAAAUGUGUUAACUAUGCUAUGUAAGUUCGUUUUAUAGAAAGAUAAAAAGAUGUAUGUAUGAAUAAUGCUGAUGAUUUUUAUAAUGUCAUUAUCAUCUAAUAUUAAUAUGGAUUUACCCUAAACCCUAUACAAUGACAGUUUAAAUAUUUUUUACACCGCGGUAAAUCAUUCAUUAUUGAUUUAUUAAUUACAAUUAACUCUCAAAUAAAAGUAAUACAAAUUAACAUGAUGAUGUGCUAACAGUAUAAAAAACUUUAUACUGUCCAGUGCAUAGAUUUUAAACUCUAUUAAUAUUUGAUUAUUAUUAACCUUAACAAUAUAAAUAAUAUAAAUGAAACACUUUAAAGUAAGUUUGUUGACGGAUUUGUGCUUAAAAUCAGUUUGGAUUUAAUAUGUAUAGAAUAAUAGUACAAAUGUUUUUUUAUACUAUCAAAAAAUCAUACAAAUUAAUUAUGAAUAUGAAUGAAUUAUUGCCAAUAUAAACAAUUUUUUUAAUGCAUAGAUUUUUAACUUAAUAAUUUUAUAUUAUUAAAUGACAAAAAGUUUUAAUGGACCAAUAAAGCCCAUGGGGCCCAUAACAGAAUCCCUAAGUGGUAGAGAAGUAUAUUAUAAAAUCAUGGAGGAAGGGGAAUUUAGGGUUUUGUGCAGCAAAGGGAGUGGUCGAAGAUCUUUCUAUCUUUGCAAUCAUGGUAUCUGAACUAAAUUCAACUCCAUCUUCUUCUAAUUUCUUUCUUUCAUGAAUACAAAUUCGUAUUAGUUUGUAGUUUUUGAUUUGAAUAAUGCAUAUUGUUUCAGAUCAUUUCCGAGAAGAACCGUAAAGAGAUCUCCAAAUACCUCUUUCAAGGUAAGGCUUCUUCAUUCUGUCUUCUAUUUUGUUUAUCAAAACUGUUAAUAAGAUCUUCUUAGAUUAACAAGAUUAGCUAUAAUGUUUAUUCAUUUAACUUUUCACUGUAGCUGAAAAAGCUUUUUUCAUAAGUGUCCCGGUUAUUUAUUGAAAUUAGAUGAAAAUAGCUUACGUUAACGGCAUAAUCUAUUUUAAAAAGCUGCAUUUUGUAUUGGAAAAAAGCUUAAUCGAGAGAUUAUAUUUAAACUUUUUUGAAAUAAUGUAGAAAGACAUUGAGAUUAGCUGAAAGUGCUUAUUGUUAGGCUACUAGUUACUACCGAUUUUCAUUAUCUGUUCUUGUGAGUUCAAAUUAGAUUUCGUCCCUCUCUUCCAAUUUUCCACUAAUUGCUGAAAAUUUCUUAUCGUAAAGAGGGAGUUUGCUAUGCGAAGAAGGACUUCAAUCUAGCAAAGCACCCGGAGAUAGAUGUGCCGAAUCUCCAAGUGAUUAAGUUGAUGCAGAGUUUCAAGUCAAAGGAAUAUGUGAGGGAGACAUUUGCUUGGAUGCACUAUUACUGGUUCCUCACCGAGUCCAUUAAUCACCCUAGGACUGGUAUAUGUUUAUGGACAUACAUCAAAGUUGCUUAACAUUAUAUAAGUGGGGUUAUGCAUUGUUGUGACAGUAAGAAAAUAGCUAUAACUUUUGGUCUAAUUAGUUACCCCAAGUUAGUAGCGCAUAGAUGCUCAAAUGUUUUUACCCUUUAUCUUCAAAAGUCAAAACCUAUAAACUUAACAGAAGAUAAAUAUGUAAUACUACCAGAUAUUUUAUCAAACAUUUUCUAAUAUAUGUUGUGCUACUCUACAGGUAAGGCUUAUGCAUGAAGCAGGUUAUGAUAUUGGAAACUUAGAUGCUACAUUGAUACUUCAAAGGCCAAAGCUAAGCCCACACAAAGAUACUAUCAAAGCCAACUUAGCUACACUGCUUGGAGUUGACCCUUCUAUUGUAAAUAUCAAAGCAAAAACUCAUGAAAAGGUAGAUAGCCUUGGAGAAAAUAGAAGUAUAGCAGCUCACACAGUGGUUCUUCUAAUGAGGAAAUGAGGGGGGGAACUAGAAAUCUUAUGGACAUCAUUGAAUAAUUAUAAUUCACAAAAGUUACUUUAUAUUUAGUAUCAUGCUCUUGUUUAUUGUUUAAUAAUAUUAGUCUAUAAAGAUAUAAUAAUAGCUCCCCUGGCUGUUAAGCCAAUAAUUUGGUAUUUUGGUUACUCUUCCUUUUCUUUCGGGUUGCUGUCUUUAAGUUUUCUGAUGUGUGCCAAGAG
Molecule: long non-coding RNA, 2947 nt
Filed under: Lupinus angustifolius (narrow-leaved blue lupine)
Lineage: Eukaryota; Viridiplantae; Streptophyta; Magnoliopsida; Fabales; Fabaceae
Description: long non-coding RNA (LANG_LNC002499)
Source: RNAcentral